CCAACUGAUACCGGAACAAUAUAUCGGAAACCUUACCUUGCAUCACAAGCCCCUUCUCCGCACCGGUGGUAUGUAGAAGUACGUGCGCAAGCCUUGAGCUACCCAUAUACCCUCCGAACUUUAAAUCGAGACCCAACGCCGUCCCAACGCGCUUUAGGCGCGUCUGCGCCGCCUCGGUCAUUUUGGGCCCCAUUUUCCGGAGCCAUCCGGUCUGGAUAUUGUAUUGUGUUGUGACUAAUGAGGUAAUUUUUCGUGCGCGGGGUGGGGGUUAUUUGAGUGCAUUGUUUGUAAAUGAAAGAUAAGGGAGGACGGGGCGGCGGAAGCUAGCGGAUGUCUUACCGUGGAUAAUUAUGCUCUCGCUGGGGGGUUCUUAGUCUAUGAAGUAAGGCUUCCAUGACAGUUGGAAUUCAUCCUUGGAGCCCCCUGGGUAUGUCUCUUUUGGUAGAGGGAAAUGGCCUUUUGGAGGUCGCGGUAGCCGAUGAAGCACUAUUUUCUUUGCAUAUGAGUAAAUAACUGAAAAGUUCGGUCCAGUGUGUUUUUUUUUUGUGGAAGGGGGACAGACAGCGUGCUCACCCAGGGACAUAUCGCGUCUGAAAUGAUAUCGAUUUUAAUCACUGCCAUUGCUUGGUUAUGCGAGGAGAAGACGAGUUAUUUCCCGUGCUUCUCAGGGCUUUCUGGUAGUCUCUAUGCUCUGUUCUUUGCGUCCUCCCCUCUGCUACAAUACUUCCUAGCUCAUGGAGACAGAAAGAAGCCUGAAUUGGGCUUAACGGCUUUAUUAAACAGGAGACAAUUUGAUGGAUGUGGAAGGGCGCCAACACCAUUCUUGUAUUUAUUUAUUUAUUGG
Molecule: small RNA, 844 nt
Filed under: Histoplasma ohiense
Lineage: Eukaryota; Fungi; Ascomycota; Eurotiomycetes; Onygenales; Ajellomycetaceae
Description: hypothetical lncRNA
Source: RNAcentral